This 337-nucleotide unclassified non-coding RNA is filed under the name soil metagenome. RNAcentral's name for it is "partial contains 5.8S ribosomal RNA, internal transcribed spacer 2, and large subunit ribosomal RNA". The stretch from base 1 to 120 matches the Rfam family "5.8S ribosomal RNA", at positions 35 to 154 of the family's 154-position model. The record is from RNAcentral.
GAUGAAGAACGCAGCGAAAUGCGAUAAGUAAUGUGAAUUGCAGAAUUCAGUGAAUCAUCGAAUCUUUGAACGCACAUUGCGCCCGCCAGUAUUCUGGCGGGCAUGCCUGUUCGAGCGUCAUUUCAACCAUCAAGCCCCCGGGCUUGUGUUGGGGACCUGCGGCUGCCGCAGGCCCUGAAAAGCAGUGGCGGGCUCGCUGUCACACCGAGCGUAGUAAAUUUUAUCUCGCUCUGGGCGUGCUGCGGGUUCCGGCCGUUAAACCACCCUUUUAACCCAAGGUUGACCUCGGAUCAGGUAGGAAGACCCGCUGAACUUAAGCAUAUCAAUAAGCGGAGGA